RNAcentral lists this ribosomal RNA (1442 nucleotides) under uncultured organism. RNAcentral describes it as "SSU rRNA". It matches the Rfam family "Bacterial small subunit ribosomal RNA". The record is from RNAcentral.
GAACGCUAGCUACAGGCUUAACACAUGCAAGUCGAGGGGCAUCAGGAAGAAAGCUUGCUUUCUUUGCUGGCGACCGGCGCACGGGUGAGUAACACGUAUCCAACCUGCCCUUUACUCGGGGAUAGCCUUUCGAAAGAAAGAUUAAUACCCGAUAGCAUAAUGAUUCCGCAUGGUUUCAUUAUUAAAGGAUUCCGGUAAAGGAUGGGGAUGCGUUCCAUUAGGUUGUUGGUGAGGUAACGGCCCACCAAGCCUUCGAUGGAUAGGGGUUCUGAGAGGAAGGUCCCCCACAUUGGAACUGAGACACGGUCCAAACUCCUACGGGAGGCAGCAGUGAGGAAUAUUGGUCAAUGGGCGCUAGCCUGAACCAGCCAAGUAGCGUGAAGGAUGAAGGCUCUAUGGGUCGUAAACUUCUUUUAUAUAAGAAUAAAGUGCAGUAUGUAUACUGUUUUGUAUGUAUUAUAUGAAUAAGGAUCGGCUAACUCCGUGCCAGCAGCCGCGGUAAUACGGAGGAUCCGAGCGUUAUCCGGAUUUAUUGGGUUUAAAGGGAGCGUAGGUGGACUGGUAAGUCAGUUGUGAAAGUUUGCGGCUCAACCGUAAAAUUGCAGUUGAUACUGUCAGUCUUGAGUACAGUAGAGGUGGGCGGAAUUCGUGGUGUAGCGGUGAAAUGCUUAGAUAUCACGAAGAACUCCGAUUGCGAAGGCAGCUCACUGGACUGCAACUGACACUGAUGCUCGAAAGUGUGGGUAUCAAACAGGAUUAGAUACCCUGGUAGUCCACACAGUAAACGAUGAAUACUCGCUGUUUGCGAUAUACAGUAAGCGGCCAAGCGAAAGCAUUAAGUAUUCCACCUGGGGAGUACGCCGGCAACGGUGAAACUCAAAGGAAUUGACGGGGGCCCGCACAAGCGGAGGAACAUGUGGUUUAAUUCGAUGAUACGCGAGGAACCUUACCCGGGCUUAAAUUGCAGUGGAAUGAUGUGGAAACAUGUCAGUGAGCAAUCACCGCUGUGAAGGUGCUGCAUGGUUGUCGUCAGCUCGUGCCGUGAGGUGUCGGCUUAAGUGCCAUAACGAGCGCAACCCUUAUCUUUAGUUACUAACAGGUUAUGCUGAGGACUCUAGAGAGACUGCCGUCGUAAGAUGUGAGGAAGGUGGGGAUGACGUCAAAUCAGCACGGCCCUUACGUCCGGGGCUACACACGUGUUACAAUGGGGGGUACAGAAGGCAGCUAGCGGGUGACCGUAUGCUAAUCCCAAAAUCCUCUCUCAGUUCGGAUCGAAGUCUGCAACCCGACUUCGUGAAGCUGGAUUCGCUAGUAAUCGCGCAUCAGCCACGGCGCGGUGAAUACGUUCCCGGGCCUUGUACACACCGCCCGUCAAGCCAUGGGAGCCGGGGGUACCUGAAGUACGUAACCGCAAGGAUCGUCCUAGGGUAAAACUGGUGAAA